GUGGCAGUGACUACACCCACUGUGCUGACUCAGCAGGCAUCCAGUCACCCUAGACAGAUCCCAUUUUGAUUUCUACAGAUCGAGCCUCAAAAGUCUCAGCUGCAUGAUUCUACACAUCCAGCCAUUUGAAGUGUGCUAGGAAAUGAAGCAUUCUAAGUCAAGAUAAUAAAAACAAUCACUGCACUACAGUGAGUUAUUUUCAUCAGCACCCUCCCAUUUUGUUGUACCAGCGAAGCAAAUGUGUAAGAAUGAUGCCUGAGCUAGUUUCUCCUUUGAAAACACUUUCUGGGAAAGCAGGUAUUUGCAAACUAAAUAGACACGAAUGCCACCAAUAAUAUUCUUACACGCCAGGUCAUUCUUCAUGGAGGACAAAUCUCUGGAGGAGGCACUACAUGAUGGGUGUCAUGGGAGAAUAUAAUCUGAUAGGAGAUGGUGUCUACGAUGAAAAUAUCAUGGAGAGCCCAGAUAUCUGUGUCUUGAGAUGAUGUGGCUACAAGGAUUUUGUCCACACUACUCCAGGUUUUGCAGUGGGGUAUGAGUGUGAGCAGACAACAGAUGAACCAAACCUUGCUGUACACAGAUUCUUGAGCAGUCUGGCUGGCAGGCACACUGGGGUUUCUGAAGCCCUUCAAAUUAUUCACACUAGAGCUGCAGAACAACUCAUCAGGAACUAUGAGUUCUUCCCUAGUGGAGGGCAUUAAAUAUUAACUGAAUGUUUACACAUGCCUUCAACAAGAUGGAAUGUGCCUGUGCGCUGUAGAAGAUACCUUGACGGGGCACAAGGUAGUAAGAUGUUUCUCCAGCUGUAAAAUGGAAUUGAAUAUGGUAUAUGACAUAUUUACCUCACCUAGAAGUACUCAAAACAAUGUCUAGGACAUGGUAAUGGCUGUGAAGUGAUCGUUGCUUCUGGAAGGACCUUGGAGGACUCAAGAAGGUAGUGAUGGGCUCACAUUUGAGGCAUGGGUUGGAGAGCUCUGAAAACUGGAGUAAAAAGAUGACAGAAAGCAGAGUCAUCAGUAGAGAGCACUGAGGUACAAUCAGAGGAGUUGGCAGAUGUGAAAUACUCCAAGAAGGAGCCAGUGUAAGUCUUGAAGGCCCAUUAGACGAAGACAGGGGAAUUAAUUAAUACCCAGGUUCUAGUUCAAAACAUGACUUUCCAUUUGUACCCUAACUACGCACACUCAUACAUACAAG
RNAcentral lists this long non-coding RNA (1194 nucleotides) under Cricetulus griseus (Chinese hamster). Its description in RNAcentral is "lncRNA (ENSCGRG00000025895.1)". Lineage: Eukaryota; Metazoa; Chordata; Mammalia; Rodentia; Cricetidae. The record is from RNAcentral.